RNAcentral lists this small RNA (282 nucleotides) under Gorilla gorilla gorilla (western lowland gorilla). RNAcentral describes it as "Metazoan signal recognition particle RNA (ENSGGOG00000037534.1)". Lineage: Eukaryota; Metazoa; Chordata; Mammalia; Primates; Hominidae. The record is from RNAcentral.
GCCGGGCAUAGUGGCUCAUGCCUGUAAUCCCAACACUUUGGGAGGCCAAGGCAGGAGGAUCACUUGUGGCCAGGAGUUGGAGACCAGCCUAGGCAACAUAGCAAGACCCCAUCUCUGUUGUUUUUUAAAUAGAUUUAAGGAAAAAAAAUUUUUUUUUAAAGUAAAGGCCGGGCAUGGUGCCUCACGCCUAUAAUCCCAGCACUUUGGGAGACUGAGGUGAGUGGAUCACUUGAGACCAGGAGUUCGAAACCAGCCUGGCCAACAUGGUGAAACCCCAUCUCU